UUGCAGGGUGUCAGGACAGUAAACAGAUGGUGCUGAUACCAGUGAGACUUGAGGCCGUCUAACGGAAGUUAGCCUGUCCCAGUGCACGGGCCUCUCGACGCCCCGCCGAGGGUUCACCACCCGCCCUCUGGCUCCGGGGAGGACCCCAGUCGGUUCAGAUUUUCCCUGACACAUCCCUGGGGAGUAAUCUGUCCAGGCUGUGACAGCAGGCUCCCCAUCCUUUACUGCUUUUCUAAAUGAGGCCUUCCUAGGCUGGGCCCCAGCUUGCUCAUCCCGCCGGGGAUCUUUUUCAGAACAAGAACCUGGACUGGUUCCCCCGGAUGAGGGCCAUGUCCCUAGUGAGCAAUGAGGGGGAAGGGGAGCAGAAUGAGAUCCGGAUUCUUCAAGACAAGCUCAACUCCACCAUGAAGCUGGUGUCCCACCUCACUGCCCAGCUCAACGAGCUCAAGGAGCAGAUGACAGAGCAGCGGAAACGCAGGCAACGCCUGGGCUUUGUGGAUGUCCAGAACUGCAUGAGCCGCUGAGGAGAGCCACUGGAGGCCCCGACAGGGGACGGUCAUCACGGACAGCUGUGACUGGAAGGCUGCCCCUUCCCGUGGGUCAGGUGGCCCAGCCAGCCCGCCAGCCUCUCUAGGCCAGGGGCCCACUCGGCCUCCAGCCCCCACUCUGCCGGACACCCCCGAGCCGUCCCAGGCUCUGGCCAGCAUGGCGUGGGGAGCCACGGAGCUGACAGUCCUGCCUAGAGCCAUUAUCGAGGACUCGGCAAGUCACUGGGACUCAGCUUACCUUAAUGCCUUAGAGGAAGAAACGUCAUCUUGGAGGACGGUUGCUUUGUCCCUUAAAGCAGUAACUGACAUUCCUCUGUGUUCCUCCCUGCGGGUCAUUAGGAGUGGGGUCAUUAGGAGUGGGGUCGCCUCUCUAUUCUAAGCACUACAAUUUGGCCUCCGCCCACGCCUGGGGAAGGUGCAGUAACGCUGUUGUUACUAGUGAUUUUAGUGUUCUGUUAUUUAACUUAUUCAAGGGUGCCGUGCCCGGCCCUGGCCAUGGCUGCAUGGCACCCCGCUGCCGCCGGGCCUCGGAUCUGCUGUGGACAGCAUGGAGACCUCAUUGUCCAGGCCAUCCCUCUGGCUCGGCCCCAGGGAGACUGUGACCCGAGGACGAAGAGCCUUGCUCCUGGGACCUGCCCCUUCCUAGCAGGUCUGCUGACAACAGUCGCUGGCCCAGAUGACAGGGCCCGGGCGUGUUCGAGUGGCUGGUUUUUGACUGCUUGUUUUAUCUCUUGGUGUAACAUUUUGCAAAUCCUUUGGCCUGAGAACUAAUAUGUUAAUUGCCUUAAAUAAAUUAAUAGAACUCUAGUCUG
Non-coding RNA from Leptonychotes weddellii (Weddell seal), 1360 nucleotides. The record is from RefSeq and is a predicted model, not a curated record. Lineage: Eukaryota; Metazoa; Chordata; Mammalia; Carnivora; Phocidae.